GAUGAACGCUGGCGGCGUGCCUAAUACAUGCAAGUCGAGCGAACAGACGAGGAGCUUGCUCCUCUGACGUCAGCGGCGGACGGGUGAGUAACACGUGGAUAACCUACCUAUAAGACUGGGAUAACUUCGGGAAACCGGAGCUAAUACCGGAUAACAUGUUGAACCGCAUGGUUCAACAGUGAAAGACGGUUUUGCUGUCACUUAUAGAUGGAUCCGCGUCGCAUUAGCUAGUUGGUAAGGUAACGGCUUACCAAGGCAACGAUGCGUAGCCGACCUGAGAGGGUGAUCGGCCACACUGGAACUGAGACACGGUCCAGACUCCUACGGGAGGCAGCAGUAGGGAAUCUUCCGCAAUGGGCGAAAGCCUGACGGAGCAACGCCGCGUGAGUGAAGAAGGUCUUCGGAUCGUAAAACUCUGUUAUUAGGGAAGAACAAAUGUGUAAGUAACUAUGCACGUCUUGACGGUACCUAAUCAGAAAGCCACGGCUAACUACGUG
Molecule: ribosomal RNA, 497 nt
Filed under: uncultured bacterium
Lineage: Bacteria
Description: partial 16S ribosomal RNA
Rfam family: Bacterial small subunit ribosomal RNA
Source: RNAcentral